Molecule: ribosomal RNA, 375 nt
Filed under: uncultured eukaryote
Lineage: Eukaryota
Description: partial 18S ribosomal RNA
Rfam family: Eukaryotic small subunit ribosomal RNA
Source: RNAcentral
CAAUAGCGUAUAUUUAAGUUGUUGCAGUUAAAAAGCUCGUAGUUGGAUUUCGGUUAAGAGCGACCGGUCCGCCGUUUGGUGUGCACUGGUUGGUUUUAACUUCCUGUAGAGGACGUGCUCUGGGUUUAACGACCUGGACUCGGAGUCUACGUGGUUACUUUGAAAAAAUUAGAGUGUUCAAAGCGGGCUUACGCUUGAAUAUUUCAGCAUGGAAUAACACUAUAGGACUCCUGUCCUAUUUCGUUGGUCUCGGGACGGGAGUAAUGAUUAAGAGGAACAGUUGGGGGCAUUCGUAUUUCAUUGUCAGAGGUGAAAUUCUUGGAUUUAUGAAAGACGAACCUCUGCGAAAGCAUUUGCCAAGGAUGUUUUCAUUAA